CUUAAACAAAACUGUGGGAUUUUUAGUCCCUAGUUUGGCCCUAGUUGUGCUUAUCUGUGGGUACCAGUGGACCUUGGCCCAUGCAUGGACCUUCUGGCUUAGUUGCAGGCCUGCCCUGUCACUAUGGGCCUGUCUAGUAGUCUCUGGACUUUCUCUCAUCAUGAUGUUGAGCUGUGGAUUGACCACCCAGCUUGACUUCAUACCUGUGUCAUCAGUGUGGACUUUCCUGCUAACUGGGGCUUGUGGUUGAAGCUGGCUCCUGUUCCUAGAGCUGCACUGCUAUUCUGAUGUAGUACUCUGGGAUAGGCUCUGUCCAGCCCUCAGUUCCUGCCUCUCCAUCCUGCUGGGAGAAGAUGUGGAUUAGUCAAGACGACACUAAAGUCAUCCAACCUGAAGCAGGAGUCUGGGAGCUCAUUCUGGUUGCAGCCUUCCUGUUGGGACUGGGGAGAAUUCUGCAGAGAAAUAGGCCAACUAAGCGAUUUAGUUUUCUUUUAAUUCUUGUUUGUCUCAUGGUGUUACCAUAUGGAGGAGGCACACAGCAGUUUGUAACAGACACCUGUGCAGAUGAUGGUCCACUAGUGCCAAGUGGUGGCAGUCAAAAAUUUAUGAAAAAUGAGUAUGCCAUGGAUGCAAGGAAAGGCCAUGACCCAGGACCAUGUCAUUGGACUACUGAUAUCAUCUCAUACAACAGGCCUAUCCAAAAUUGUGAUGGCCAUGUCCUGCUGAGAUCUGCAACUCCAGCCAAGGUUCUUGCUUCCUAUUGCUGUCAGGAUAAUGCUGCAUCAUUCCACCUAACUACCAAUAAAUAGAAAUGCAGAGCCAUGACUUCUAUUCGAAAGCAUGCAGACUCCUUUGUACUGUUUCCUUAUAUACAAAUAUAUCUUCCAACUUGUAGCUGUAGUACAUCUGAAUUAAAUCAUGACUUAUUCUUUCUAUUAAAGCUGUGUUGUCCUUGCCAUUAUCCCCUUUUCCAGUAAAUGAGUACAAUGAAAAAUUGAUUCUAGCUGUAUUGGACUGCAG
Molecule: long non-coding RNA, 1020 nt
Filed under: Anser brachyrhynchus (Pink-footed goose)
Lineage: Eukaryota; Metazoa; Chordata; Aves; Anseriformes; Anatidae
Description: lncRNA (ENSABRG00000014893.1)
Source: RNAcentral